Molecule: long non-coding RNA, 494 nt
Organism: Oncorhynchus kisutch (coho salmon)
Lineage: Eukaryota; Metazoa; Chordata; Actinopteri; Salmoniformes; Salmonidae
Exons: 3
Source: RefSeq, a predicted model, not a curated record
ACUUCCGGGUAAACACACGCAGAUCAUUGCUACGCUUGCGCAAGCGCCGUCCAAAUUAGUUUAUUCAUAAUGUUUGACAUUCUUGUGAUUCAUGUUGUCCAGAGAGAGGUGCAACCCAACAGGCACAAAACGUACUUGGCAGCAACUGAAGAUGAAAUGUAAAAAUAUACUUCCAACUGCCAAUAGAAAAAGUCUGAGGGAUGAAAUACAGGUGAGGGUUCACCUGAGGCUGAGUAGAUGGCCCUCAGUCAAAACAGUGGGGGACCUAUUGCUGAAGGCAUCACUGAAUUCCCCCCCCCAUAGGACAAGGGCCUACAUAAGAGGUUAGUUAUUCAAAUUAAUGAUAUGUACAUUAAUCUUUUUGACAGUGUUACCUCAGUGACACCCACCCAUCCAUCCAUAUUAGACACAACUUGGCACACAGAUUUUUUUUGUAGCGGUACAAUUCUUUGUAAUUGACGACUGUUACUUUUUCAGUUGUCCUUCAGACAUCA